UCAAGGUAGGAUUCAAGAUCUUGUCGUGGCAGUGUACGUAGCUAUGGUUAAAACGCGAGGCUUAUUAGUGUCCAAUUGAGUUGCAUGUGGAGUUUGAGGAGGACGCAAUCUGGUUUACAUAGACAACAGGGGGAGCUUGGGAUUUUUAGAAACAAACGUCAGAUUACAACACAAAAAUGUGAAUCAAUUUUUUCUGGAAUCUGGUUCAUGAGAGAACAAUUGGCUUUGCCCUGAAGUUAAAGAUGCUACAGAAGGAAGUUAAAAAAAAAAAAAACCGAAAAAGGGAAAAUAGUGCACUGACAUGUCUGAAGUGGGAACAAUAAAAGCUGACAAUCAUCAGUAAAUACCAAUUCUGGUGUGGCUAUUUCUCGAUCCGCAAGUGAGAUGGAAACAACGGGCUAAAAAUUCAGUGCAGGAAUCUUUACGUCAACCAGGAGGAAAACCAGCAAACGGACAUCGAUGGAAUUAAACAUAAAGGGCACAAACAGUUUCGCCGCGGCCUUGUGUCACUUCCUGUCGGCAAACUAAAGGAAGUACGUUAGAUUGCUUUAAACUACAAAAAGAAUAAUCGAGAAUUCAUGGAGUAUCUGCUUACCGAAUAGCAAAUACUCCGUUGCGGCGUAACUGACAUCAGUACUUAGAAACAGCCCCCUGAUUUUUGUAAAACCACAGCAUCGAUCGAUUUCAUCAUCGCCAGUUUCCUAUAUUUUGCUACGAUAUCUCAAGUAAAGCAUCGAAUUGGAAACACACUACGCAACAAGGGGCAAUUACAAUUUAGAACAACAACUGUAAAUCCAGGCCACUGUAUGUUACAGCAAAUCUAAACCAGCUAUUUCUUUUCUAAUGGUGCCUAUUGUUCCAAAUUCCCUUCAUCGUUAUUAUGUUUGAUCAAACAUAUUAUAAUUUCCGGCGCGUUUCUAAUACGUAUUAGCCAUUACCAUUUUCAACAUUGCGGAUACUUGAAAUAGGGAAAAAUGGAAAACUUUGAGUGGGUUUACCAUCAUACAAGUGAAAUUUAUAUAACCCAUUAUUUUGACUUUUGUUCAACAGGGCAGUUUCCGCGGGACCCGUGUUAUUUGUUUACGGUCUAUUCCCCAUAUCAGAGGGAGCUAGGACCGGCCUUGCGCUAAUCGGGAUGUUGUUUUGCCUAUUAGGGGAGGCAUUUCGGGGCGGGGCUUUCGGGGUGUGUUGC
Long non-coding RNA from Daphnia carinata, 1192 nucleotides. RefSeq lists it as uncharacterized. The record is from RefSeq and is a predicted model, not a curated record. The transcript has 5 exons. NCBI's taxonomy places the organism in Eukaryota, Metazoa, Arthropoda, Branchiopoda, Diplostraca, Daphniidae.